GACGAACGCUGGCGGCGUGCCUAAUACAUGCAAGUAGAACGCUGAAGGAGGAGCUUGCUUCUCUGGAUGAGUUGCGAACGGGUGAGUAACGCGUAGGUAACCUGCCUGGUAGCGGGGGAUAACUAUUGGAAACGAUAGCUAAUACCGCAUAAGAGUAGAUGUUGCAUGACAUUUGCUUAAAAGGUGCAAUUGCAUCACUACCAGAUGGACCUGCGUUGUAUUAGCUAGUUGGUGGGGUAACGGCUCACCAAGGCGACGAUACAUAGCCGACCUGAGAGGGUGAUCGGCCACACUGGGACUGAGACACGGCCCAGACUCCUACGGGAGGCAGCAGUAGGGAAUCUUCGGCAAUGGACGGAGGUCUGACCGAGCAACGCCGCGUGAGUGAAGAAGGUUUUCGGAUCGUAAAGCUCUGUUGUAAGAGAAGAACGAGUGUGAGAGUGGAAAGUUCACACUGUGACGGUAUCUUACCAGAAAGGGACGGCUAACUACGUG
This 495-nucleotide ribosomal RNA is filed under the name uncultured bacterium. RNAcentral's name for it is "partial 16S ribosomal RNA". It matches the Rfam family "Bacterial small subunit ribosomal RNA", at positions 28 to 507 of the family's 1533-position model. The record is from RNAcentral.